Molecule: ribosomal RNA, 274 nt
Filed under: uncultured bacterium
Lineage: Bacteria
Description: partial 16S ribosomal RNA
Rfam family: Bacterial small subunit ribosomal RNA
Source: RNAcentral
AUACGUAGGUGGCAAGCGUUGUCCGGAUUUACUGGGCGUAAAGGGCGCGCAGGCGGCCUAUCAAGUCCGGGGUGAAAGCUCCCGGCUCAACCGGGAGAGGUCUUCGGAUACUGAUAGGCUUGAGGGGAGCAGAGGAGAGCGGAAUUCCCGGUGUAGCGGUGAUAUGCGUAGAUAUCGGGAGGAACACCAGUGGCGAAGGCGGCUCUCUGGGCUCUCCCUGACGCUGAGGCGCGAAAGCGUGGGGAGCAAACCGGAUUAGAAACCCGAGUAGUCC